Molecule: ribosomal RNA, 855 nt
Filed under: Sarcophaga dysderci
Lineage: Eukaryota; Metazoa; Arthropoda; Insecta; Diptera; Sarcophagidae
Description: eukaryotic LSU rRNA
Rfam family: Eukaryotic large subunit ribosomal RNA
Source: RNAcentral
CACUUUGUCUUUAUGGCAAAUGUGAGAUGCAGUGUAUGGAAUGUCAAAUUUCUAGUAUGAGAAAUUAACGAUUUAAGUCCUUCUUAAAUGAGGCCAUUUACCCAAAGAGGGUGCCAGGCCCGUAUAACGUUAAUGAUUACUAGAUGGCAUUUCCAAAGAGUCGUGUUGCUUGAUAGUGCAGCACUAAGUUGGUGGUAAACUCCAUCUAAAACUAAAUAUAACCAUGAGACCGAUAGUAAACAAGUACCGUGAGGGAAAGUUGAAAAGAACUCUGAAUAGAGAGUUAAAUAGUACGUGAAACUGCUUAGAGGUUAAGCCCGAUGAACCUGAAUAUCCAUUAUAGAAAAUUCAUCAUUAUGAUUUUAAUAUUUAUAAUAUUAUAAUAAUGGUGUGCAUUUUUUCUAUAACGGACAUUGUAAUCUAUUAACAUAUCCCAAAUUUAUCAUAAGAUCAAUGAUGCGUAAGUUUAUUCAAAUUAUUUUGCUUGCAAUUUAACAUAGAAUAAAUGCUCUUGAUUUGAUAAAGUGUUGAUAGAUUUAUUAUAUAUAGUGCUUAAAUAUUUAUAUUUUAUAAUAGCAUAUUAAUCAUUGAUUUUUAUGUUUAUUAUAUGCACUUAUAUGAUUAACAAUGCGAAAGAUUCAGGAUACCUUCGGGACCCGUCUUGAAACACGGACCAAGGAGUCUAACAUAUUUGCAAGUUAUUGGGUAUUAAAACCUAAUAGCGAAAUUAACAUAACUUUAAUGGGAUUAGUUUUUAGAUUAUUUUAUAGUCUAUUAAUUCAAUCCCGGGGCGUUCUAAUUGGUUAUGUAUAAUAAUAUUUAUAUUAUUUAUACCUCUAACUAGAGCGUACCUUG